Molecule: ribosomal RNA, 253 nt
Filed under: uncultured bacterium
Lineage: Bacteria
Description: partial 16S ribosomal RNA
Rfam family: Bacterial small subunit ribosomal RNA
Source: RNAcentral
UACGUAGGGGGCUAGCGUUGUCCGGAAUCAUUGGGCGUAAAGCGCGCGUAGGCGGCCCGGUAAGUCCGUUGUGAAAGUCAAAGGCUCAACCUUUGAAAGCCGAUGGAUACUGCCGGGCUAGAGUCCGGAAGAGGCGAGUGGAAUUCCUGGUGUAGCGGUGGAAUGCGCAGAUAUCAGGAGGAACACCGAUAGCGAAGGCAGCUCGCUGGACCGGAACUGACGCUGAGGCGCGAAAGCGUGGGGAGCAAACAGG